RNAcentral lists this transfer RNA (85 nucleotides) under Sphingomonadaceae bacterium. RNAcentral's name for it is "tRNA-Leu". It matches the Rfam family "tRNA". From Rfam's summary of the family: Transfer RNA (tRNA) molecules are approximately 80 nucleotides in length. Their secondary structure includes four short double-helical elements and three loops (D, anti-codon, and T loops). Lineage: Bacteria; Pseudomonadati; Pseudomonadota; Alphaproteobacteria; Sphingomonadales; Sphingomonadaceae. The record is from RNAcentral.
GCGGGCGUGGUGAAAUUGGUAGACGCGCGGGAUUCAAAAUCCCGUUCCGAGAGGAGUGUCGGUUCGAGCCCGACCGCCCGCACCA